UGGUAGUGAAAUAAAGAAUUUACACAUAUAACUCUCUGAAAGGACUAAGACCAUGUUUAUCAAAAUUCGGCCUAACGUCCAAAGUGAAUAAUUUUUUGUUAGAAAUAUUCUCUAACAUGUUCUUUUCCUGUAAUGUACUGGUUUUUAUAUGUAGAGUUGGUGAAAGAACACAAUUUUUAGGUUUACAUUACUAGUAUAAAUCCUAUAAUUUGCGCUACUUUUUAAGAUUGCGUCAUACAACGUCGCUAUAUAUUAUUAGAAGUGGUAACGUAUUGUAAAACAUGAUUAUACAAUGAGUGGUUUAAUAUAUAAUAAGAUCUUGAAAAAGAAAUUUUCUUUCCCAAAUACGCAAGAAGGUUAUUUUACUUAUAGCCCGAAUGGCACACCAUAUUUUUCAAUCCUUCAUUCGGCCUUUUUCACACGCGGCGCCGUUAGUCUGUUUGCGCUGUUCGUGGAAGUUGCAGAGGAUGUACUCAUCGCAUUUCAACGAUGAUAUAAUAUGUACAGCAAAAAUUUAUGGCAAGGGUGACAUGAAUCAGAUUGACAAGAAUCCAUAUUCCUACUCCUCAAUAAUGCUAUCAUCACUGCCAUCAGAUUCAUCAAUGAUAGUGGCAUCAGUGACACAUGCGGAUAAGUGUUGGACAUCACUACAGGAAUAGCUUCCUUGUUGUGCCUGCCAAUAGCAAGGUACCAGAUUAUACAGCAGUUAUGUGGAAACAGAUUCCCACAGAUUGACACCUACAUUGUACAGUAUCAGGCAGUUAUAUCAGAACUGGAAAAACUGGAUCCAAACAAGACUAUAUUGCUUGGAAGAAACAUGUCGACUCUGAAGUUUAACCCUUAUUAACCCAUGGCACUUCCAGAGACAUCCUGAUACCAUGGUUCUAUGUCAUUUGAAAUAUACCUGUGGAGGUUUUUAAAGUGGUUUUUUUUGGGGGGUGUUAUUAAUUGGAAGAAUUUAUAUUUGAUGAUUCAAAUGAAAAUCUGCAUGUUGAAUUAUGAAUGUCAUAAUAAAUGUACUUUUUGAAUGAGUUCAAGAAUGGUUGUCCUGAUAAAAAGUGUAGAGUCAAAAGUUAACAAAUUGUCAAAAACACUGGUCAGGUCUGAAUUCAUCAUCUUGGACACCUUGCAGUUGGAAUUAUGAUCUCUAUGAAGAAAUGCUGAAAAUCUUGUAAAAGAGGAAAUGACAAGUUGGGGUCCAAGGCACUUGAAUAUAUGCAUGAGAAGGUGUUCUAUCCAGGCUUGAGGUCAAUUACAUAGCAAUGUAACGCCUUACAUUACCUAGAAAAUUUCACAUUACCAUUACUCCUAUUUUGAAAUAUAAUGUAUUACAUUACUUGAGAGUGAAUUUACAUUACACAUUUACAUAACAUACUGUCAGAUAUUAAAGAAAUGGCAGGAAAAUUGUUUCUGUAUUAUGAUUUUUAAUAUAAGUACACAAAAUAUUCAGCAAUGUUAGGAAACAUAUCUAUUAAGUUAUUCAUUGCAUUUGAUUGUCAUCAAUGUUUCAAAUGCUUCAGUCAAUCACUAAUAUAAUGAAUUAUUCUAAAUCUUCAAAAUAUCAUCAAAUAUUUGAAGUAGUGUAAAUGUAAUGAAAAGUAAUGUGCAGUACAGUAUGCAUUACAUUACCAUUACUUGUAAUGCAAAAAUGGUUCAUUACACCCCCAUUACAUUGAAACUGGCUGUCAUUUAAUUACCAUUACCCCAGGCCUGGUUCUGUCGAGAGGUAUUGAAAUUGUCUGUAGAGACUUUGUCUCAGGAAGUGGCCGAGAUUGGUUGUGACAAUUUUGUUGGAUGUGAAUUUACUGACACACAUGUCUACACUUGCUACACAAUAUAGCAUGUGGUGGUUUCAACAAGAAAGUUCUUACUCUGCAGGAAAUGACGAAUAGCUAAUGGAUUCACAUUUUUUCUGACUUUACUUCUGUACAUUAGAUGCAUUGGAAAAACUUUCCUUUCCAUUAUCUUUUGCUGGUUCAUACUUUGAAAUAAAAUCAAGUCCGAAAAUAAAGUAUUUUGGGUUUUUUUUUUUCAAUGAAUUUAAAAAAAUGUAAUCUGUAAUCCUUGCAUAUUUUCUUGGUGUUCUGUGAUUGCAUAGGCCUAUUGAUUUUUAUUUGUAUUCAGGUAUGAUUUCAUCUUCAGUGUCUUGAAAGAAAUAAAUUUUUCAAUAAUGCAAAGAAAAAUGUAGUUAACAGUAUGAUUUUAAAAAAAAAAAUUUGACACGGGUAGGAAUUGAACCCGGAUCUCCCGAUUGAAGGACGGGCUCGCUACCACUAAGCCACGACGUCUAUGACGUCAUUCGCUCAAAAAUCCUUCAUACAUUUACUUGCCCUAGUUAACGUUAUACUUCAAUAUUUCGGCAAUAGUUUUAGUUAUAUCAAUGCAUGUUCUAUAAAUUCUUUUCAUUUUGAUCUUAGUAAUUCUGUUGGUGUCGUCUAAAUAAAAACUUUCUAUAGCAUUGAAGGUCCGGUUUGUCGGACAGCAGAUUCGUUUGUUUACGCAUCAAAAUUCUAUAGCUUUUAGAAUAUCCUGCACAAACCUGUGAUAAAAACACCACAUAGGGGUGUAUUCUGCAUGGAAAUGAUGUAGACUCCACAUAAGUAUAUUGUUUUAAUUUUUCAAAGCAACAUAAUUAAUAAAAUACCCACAACUCUCACAAAAAUAAAUAAUUCCGGAUUGCUCUAUUUUUAAUUCAAAGUUGAUAUUCAUCAACAGCACACCUUUCGAUCCAAAAAAUCGUUCGUGCAAAAUUUAUUUGUAUUGAUAGAUUUUGAUAGACUACAGUCAGUUUCUGGAUCGAAGGUCGUGUUUUAUAUGAAUUAUAUGACUAAA
Ostrea edulis (European flat oyster) is the source of this 2832-nucleotide long non-coding RNA. RefSeq lists it as uncharacterized. The transcript has 2 exons. The record is from RefSeq and is a predicted model, not a curated record. Lineage: Eukaryota; Metazoa; Mollusca; Bivalvia; Ostreida; Ostreidae.